UCCCUGGUGGUCCAGUGGUUGGGACUUGGAGCUUUCACUGCUGUAGCCCCAGGUUUGAUUCCUGGUUGGGGAA
RNAcentral lists this transfer RNA (73 nucleotides) under Bos taurus (domestic cattle). It matches the Rfam family "tRNA". From Rfam's summary of the family: Transfer RNA (tRNA) molecules are approximately 80 nucleotides in length. Their secondary structure includes four short double-helical elements and three loops (D, anti-codon, and T loops). RNAcentral also lists the same sequence under 5 other names. Lineage: Eukaryota; Metazoa; Chordata; Mammalia; Artiodactyla; Bovidae. The record is from Rfam by way of RNAcentral.